This 484-nucleotide ribosomal RNA is filed under the name uncultured bacterium. RNAcentral describes it as "partial 16S ribosomal RNA". It matches the Rfam family "Bacterial small subunit ribosomal RNA", at positions 30 to 507 of the family's 1533-position model. The record is from RNAcentral.
AUUGAACGCUGGCGGCAGGCCUAACACAUGCAAGUCGAGCGGAUGAAGGGAGCUUGCUCCUGGAUUCCGCGGCGGACGGGUGCGUAAUGCCUAGGAAUCUGCCUGGUAGUGGGGGAUAACGUCCGGAAACGGGCGCUGAUACCGCAAACGCACUGAGGGAGAAAGUGGAGGAUCGUCGGACCUCACGCUAUCAGAUGAGCCUAGGUCGGAUUAGCUAGUUGGUGGGGUAAAGGCCUACCAAGGCGACGAUCCGUAACUGGUCUGAGAGGAUGAUCAGUCACACUGGAACUGAGACACGGUCCAGACUCCUACGGGAGGCAGCAGUGGGGAAUAUUGGACAAUGGGCGAAAGCCUGAUCCAGCCAUGCCGCGUGUGUGAAGAAGGUCUUCGGAUUGUAAAGCACUUUAAGUGGGGAGGAAGGGCAGUAAGUUAAUACCUUGCUGUAUUGACGUUACCAACAGAAUAAGCACCGGCUAACUUCGUG